AGCUUUGUGCAGUGGCAAUAUCAUAGCCAAUGAGGUUUAUCCGAGGCAUGAUUAUUGCUAAUUAAAUGUGUACUUCAUAAUGCCAAGCACGGUGCUGAGUCUCUUACAGGCAUUAUUCUCUCAUUAAAUGC
This is a small nuclear RNA of Pteropus vampyrus (large flying fox), 131 nucleotides long. Its record names the gene U4. It matches the Rfam family "U4 spliceosomal RNA". From Rfam's summary of the family: U4 small nuclear RNA (U4 snRNA) is a component of the major U2-dependent spliceosome. The structure of U4 snRNA from yeast and human has been reported. Lineage: Eukaryota; Metazoa; Chordata; Mammalia; Chiroptera; Pteropodidae. The record is from Ensembl.